RNAcentral lists this ribosomal RNA (229 nucleotides) under uncultured bacterium. RNAcentral's name for it is "partial 16S ribosomal RNA". It matches the Rfam family "Bacterial small subunit ribosomal RNA", at positions 568 to 796 of the family's 1533-position model. The record is from RNAcentral.
UGCGCAGGCGGCUUACUAAGUCAGUGGUGAAAUCUUGCGGCUCAACCGUAAAAUUGCCAUUGAUACUGGUAAGCUUGAAUUCAGUUGAGGUUGGCGGAAUGUGUAAUGUAGCGGUGAAAUGCUUAGAUAUUACACAGAACACCGAUUGCGAAGGCAGCUAGCUAAACUGACAUUGACGCUGAGGCACGAAAGCGUGGGGAGCGAACAGGAUUAGAUACCCUGGUAGUCC